Molecule: ribosomal RNA, 326 nt
Filed under: uncultured eukaryote
Lineage: Eukaryota
Description: partial 18S ribosomal RNA
Rfam family: Eukaryotic small subunit ribosomal RNA
Source: RNAcentral
CCCUUAGAUGUUCUGGGCUGCACGCGCGCUACACUGAUGCACUCAACGAGUUUACGACCUUGCCCGAUAGGGUUGGGUAAUCUUUUUAAAAUGCAUCGUGAUGGGGAUAGAUUAUUGCAAUUAUUAAUCUUCAACGAGGAAUUCCUAGUAAGCGCGAGUCAUCAGCUCGUGCUGAUUACGUCCCUGCCCUUUGUACACACCGCCCGUCGCUCCUACCGAUUGAGUGCUCAGGUGAAUAAUUCGGACUGCAGCAAUGUUUGGGUCCCGAACGUUGCAGCGGAAAGUUUAGUGAACCUUAUCACUGAGAGGAAGGAGAAGUCGUAACA